Molecule: non-coding RNA, 103 nt
Filed under: Bacillus infantis
Lineage: Bacteria; Bacillati; Bacillota; Bacilli; Caryophanales; Bacillaceae
Also listed under: 1 other name
Description: SAM-I sequence
Rfam family: SAM riboswitch aptamer (S box leader)
About the family: The SAM riboswitch is found upstream of a number of genes which code for proteins involved in methionine or cysteine biosynthesis in Gram-positive bacteria. The SAM riboswitch acts at the level of transcription termination control.
Source: RNAcentral
UUCUUAUCCAGAGAGGCAGAGGGACUGGCCCAAUGAAGCCUCGGCAGCGGACUCUUAUGAGUACUGUGCCAAUUCCAGCAGGUGUGAGCCUGGGAGAUAAGAA